RNAcentral lists this unclassified non-coding RNA (336 nucleotides) under soil metagenome. RNAcentral describes it as "partial contains 5.8S ribosomal RNA, internal transcribed spacer 2, and large subunit ribosomal RNA". The stretch from base 3 to 120 matches the Rfam family "5.8S ribosomal RNA", at positions 37 to 154 of the family's 154-position model. The record is from RNAcentral.
GCUGAAGAACGCAGUGAAAUGCGAUAAGUAAUGUGAAUUGCAGAAUUCAGUGAAUCAUCGAAUCUUUGAACGCACAUUGCGCCCGCCAGUAUUCUGGCGGGCAUGCCUGUUCGAGCGUCAUUUCAACCAUCAAGCCCCAGGCUUGUGUUGGGGACCUGCGGCUGCCGCAGGCCCUGAAAACCAGUGGCGGGCUCGCUGUCACACCGGGCGUAGUAGAUUUUAUCUCGCUCAGGGCGUGCUGCGGGUUCCGGCCGUUAAAAAGCCUUUUUUACCCAAGGUUGACCUCGGAUCAGGUAGGAAGACCCGCUGAACUUAAGCAUAUCAAUAAGCGGAGGA